GAUGAACGCUGGCGGCGUGCCUAAUACAUGCAAGUCGAGCGAACGGACGAGAAGCUUGCUUCUCUGAUGUUAGCGGCGGACGGGUGAGUAACACGUGGAUAACCUACUUAUAAGACUGGGAUAACUUCGGGAAACCGGAGCUAAUACCGGAUAAUAUCUUGAACCGCAUGGUUCAAAAGUGAAAGACGGUCUUGCUGUCACUUAUAGAUGGAUACGCGCUGCAUUAGCUAGUUGGUAAGGUAACGGCUUACCAAGGCAACGAUGCAUAGCCGACCUGAGAGGGGGGUAGGCCACACUGGAACUGAGACGCGGUCCAGACUCCUACGAGAGGCAGCAGUAGGGAAUCGUCCGCAAUGGGCGGAAGCCUGGCGGAGCAACGCCGCGUGAGUGAUGGAGGUCUUGGGUUCGUGAAGCUCUGUUAUUAGGGAAGAACAUAUGUGUAAGUAACUGUGCACAUCUUGACGGUACCUGAUCAGAAAGCCCCGGCUAACUACGUG
RNAcentral lists this ribosomal RNA (497 nucleotides) under uncultured bacterium. Its description in RNAcentral is "partial 16S ribosomal RNA". It matches the Rfam family "Bacterial small subunit ribosomal RNA", at positions 28 to 507 of the family's 1533-position model. The record is from RNAcentral.